AAAAAAAAAAAAAAAGGGAGAAACCAUGAUCACGAAGGUGGUUUUCCCAGGGCGAGGCUUAUCCAUUGCACCCCGGAUGUGCUGACCCCUGCGAUUUCCCCAGAUGUGGGAAACUCGACUGCAUAAUUUGUGGUCGUGGGGGACUGCGUUUGCGCUCUCUAU
RNAcentral lists this small nuclear RNA (162 nucleotides) under Saimiri boliviensis boliviensis (Bolivian squirrel monkey). RNAcentral's name for it is "U1 spliceosomal RNA (ENSSBOG00000006146.1)". It matches the Rfam family "U1 spliceosomal RNA". From Rfam's summary of the family: U1 is a small nuclear RNA (snRNA) component of the spliceosome (involved in pre-mRNA splicing). The record is from RNAcentral. Lineage: Eukaryota; Metazoa; Chordata; Mammalia; Primates; Cebidae.